GUUUCGAGCCAUAUUCAGAUGAUAUACAAUCACGCGCAAACCGCCUCCCCGUCCGAUCCACUUCUGCGGCGGGGAUGAGCCAUCGGGGAUGAGCCGGCCGGUGUGGCUUAUGAGAGAGCCGAUCCGUCCUGCUUUAGGGGGGUGUUCACAGACGGUGCAGUACUGAGCAACACAGUCGAGCCGGGGCGCUUUAUGCGUGCACGCGGCUGAGUUCUUCAGAGCCGCCCCGGUCCCCAAAGCCCGACGCGCAGCCUUCGCAGAAGCAGUGACCGCCGAACGCGGCGCCUCAACCGGUGUGGCUGAUUUUCUGAGCCGUGGUGGCAUAUAAUGGAGCCAAGCUGUCCUGCUUCUAGGGGGUGAGUUUUGAAGCAAACUUUGACGCGCACGAGUCGGAGUCUCCUCACUCAUCUUUGCAAAGGCGACCCAAUCAAUCGACCCGAUCAAUGAUGACCUCAUGCCAACCUGACAUCCGCUAUUAAGCUGUAGCAGGUUUCCUACGAGAGGAAGGGCAAACGGGCCUGGUGGAAGACCCCCCCCCUUCCCGCCGCUCUUCUUUUUGUCGACGAGCAACCAGAGUAGAGCGAGCAGGGCGCCGACUAACAAGAUCGCUACACAAACC
Molecule: long non-coding RNA, 619 nt
Organism: Syngnathoides biaculeatus (alligator pipefish)
Lineage: Eukaryota; Metazoa; Chordata; Actinopteri; Syngnathiformes; Syngnathidae
Exons: 3
Source: RefSeq, a predicted model, not a curated record